Poeciliopsis prolifica (blackstripe livebearer) is the source of this 1460-nucleotide long non-coding RNA. RefSeq lists it as uncharacterized. The record is from RefSeq and is a predicted model, not a curated record. The transcript is spliced from 2 exons. NCBI's taxonomy places the organism in Eukaryota, Metazoa, Chordata, Actinopteri, Cyprinodontiformes, Poeciliidae.
GGCACAUGCAAAAAUCAGAAAGCAGCAAUCUGGUGAGAAAUCCUCUGUUUGGUCUUAAACUUCAGACUUAUAAAAUCUCUUAUUUAUUUAAUCAUCUCAUACUUUCAGGUAUAUCUACUAAAUCAUAAUGGUUGUUUUCAACUGGAAGACUAGAAGAAAGUCCACAGCGCAUAAGCCUUUUUUUGCCGGUUUCAAAGGAAAACAUCCAGCGGAACCUCUGCUGAAAAACAUUAAGGUGUUAAGAUGGGGAUUGCUUCAGCAGCUACUCAGAGGACAACAUGAAGGACUCACAUCUGUACAAAAAUGGAACUCUUCUGAUGGAGAAAGUAAUAUUUUUAAAGUUUUGUUUUUGGCCUUGAUUAGGUUAAAAUAGGUAGUUAAGUGUAAGAGCAACACUUCCUGCUCCAACUUGAAACAUACAUGAGAGAAAGUUUACUUUCUGUUUUCUGCUUACUUAUAGAAUGAAGUGGAGAACCUGUGUCUUCAUACGCCACCAUAUCUUCAUAUCUGCUUCCUAUUGUUUCUUCCAAAGUGUUUUCUACAAGGGAGAAACAGCAACACGGGAAAUCAUGUCGGUCCCCUGGAAAUGAAGCUCAUCUCUGUGAUCUCUCCACACAUUUCAGUGCAACUCAAUUCAAAAUACUUUUUUGAUUCCAAAGAGAAAUGAAGUAUUACAUUAAAUGAUAUAAUUUAUCAAUGUCUUAAUUCAUACCUCACUGCAUGAGAAUAAAUACAUGAAUUAAUACACAUAGGUAGUUUUUUUGUCCUGAAAUAAAUGUGCUGCAUCUGUUGACUGGCAGCUCAUCCCUGUGGCCCAUGGUGCAGUGCUGCAUCUCUGGUCAGUUGGUAGUCUGAGAUGAAGCACUGUAGCUCGGGACGGAGGACAGACAGAGCUGUUGAGGAAUGUCCAUAACAAGAAGGAAGCAUCUAUCAAGAUUGGCGGGACAUGACUAUGACAUGUUUCUCUAGAGAAGAAAGAAGAAAGUGAAUCUGGCAUCCAUGCAGUUAGAAAGGAUAUUCUGUCAACCAUUCUGUCAUUUGUUUCUGUUUUAUAUUGCUCCAGCUGAGUUCAUAAAAUAAGAAGUUAGCUUUUAUUUCUUUUUUUUUGCCUCAAAACUAGAAUUUUGAAUAGUCCCUUGUUUUUCCUUUACCCUUUUCUCUGGGGUCCAGUUUUCCCAGGAAUCCCUUCACUCAUGAGAAAGGGGGAUUCCUGGAAAUACUGAUCUUGGGGGCGAGGCUUCUCACCAUGUCCAAUAUGAAUAAUAGAAUAGAAGGAAUUAAUAUGUGUGUGCUCUUCAGUUGAACUCUGUAAAAAAAAAAAAGAGUUGACAGCUGUGAGAUAUUUUAAAAAAGACAAAGUUCCUCAAAGUUUGCUCCUCAUGUUUUACUUGCAAAUCAUUUCAAAUUGUACAUCUAAUCUAUUUGGUUGUCUGACAAAAUAAACAAAACUGUUCAAAUAA